This 275-nucleotide small RNA is filed under the name Plasmodium gaboni. RNAcentral's name for it is "Plasmodium RNA of unknown function RUF5". The record is from RNAcentral. Lineage: Eukaryota; Apicomplexa; Aconoidasida; Haemosporida; Plasmodiidae.
AAAGGAUGAACAUAAAAAAUAUAUAUAUAUAUUUAUAUAUAUAUAUAUAUAUGUGCAUUUUUUUUUUUUUUUUUUUUUUUGUGAUACAUUUUUGUUUUGUUGUUCAUCCUAUAAUAUCUCAUUAUCUUGUUCAUAUUUAAAAAAAAAAACGCUAUUAUAGUAAAUAUAAAGUUACAAGAUUGGAAAAUGUAUAUAUAUUUUCACAUAUAACAUAUGCCAUAAAAAAAAUAUUACAUAUAUAUAUUAUAUACAUAUGCCAUAUAUUUUCAUUUUAU